CAGUCGCGUUUGCUGGGACUCAACCUUGCUUUUGCCUGGUGUACUUCUCAGUAAAUGGGCCAGCAUCAAUUUCGGGCGCCGGAAAAGGAUUUGAGGAAUGUGACAGCUUGCUGUGUUAUAGCCUCUUGUCGUACAGGGUGCUGGGGACAGAGGACCGCAGCGCGCCUUCUUGGCAUUGGCUUCGGCCUUUUCCGCGCUAAGGAUUCUGGCUUAAUGGCUUUAAGCGACCCGUCUUGAAACACGGACCAAGGAGUCUAGCAUAUAUGCGAGUGUUU
Molecule: ribosomal RNA, 275 nt
Filed under: Diversispora epigaea
Lineage: Eukaryota; Fungi; Glomeromycota; Glomeromycetes; Diversisporales; Diversisporaceae
Source: RNAcentral